Molecule: long non-coding RNA, 546 nt
Organism: Rhinopithecus roxellana (golden snub-nosed monkey)
Lineage: Eukaryota; Metazoa; Chordata; Mammalia; Primates; Cercopithecidae
Exons: 4
Source: RefSeq, a predicted model, not a curated record
AGACUCCACAUAGCUUGCAUCACUGCUCACGUCUCCGUGUAACUCACAAUAAAGAGACUUUGGCAUCAAGUGUGAGCUUAGGGGUAGAAGAAGGGUAUAUGUUAGGAGGUGGGAGCGGAAUCAAUUCUUCAAAGCUUAAGGAUGGUGAAGAAGAGUGCUUACCAGAUUCCUUUCUGGUCUGGAAAAGGAAAUUCCUUCUUUUGUGGAUGUCAUCUUUACCCUCUCUCGGUAAAAAAUUUUUCAAGUGACUCCUAAGAUGGAGAGAGCAUUGGAAGUCAUCUGGCCCAUUUCCCUCAUGCAACUCAAAGCUUCUUUGUAAGAAAAAUACUCCCAGAAGUUUGUUUGCAUUAUGAAGAUCAGGUCUUGAGAGAUCCAGUCUGGCUCUUCCCUGUACAAAACAUUUCUCACAAACAGAAUAUGGACAAUUGCUAAAUGUCAAAGGGCCUGAAGGAGCUUUUUUACCCUGCCACCAUGUGAGGACACAGUGAGAAGGCACCAUCUAUGAACCAGAAAGCAGAUGCCCUAACUAGACACUGAAUAUGCUGG